This 414-nucleotide ribosomal RNA is filed under the name Triticum aestivum (bread wheat). Its description in RNAcentral is "partial small subunit ribosomal RNA". Lineage: Eukaryota; Viridiplantae; Streptophyta; Magnoliopsida; Poales; Poaceae. The record is from RNAcentral.
AUGCAUAUUGAUGUGACGAUCGAAGAGGUUGACGGAUAUAAGUGGAGACUCACAGGUAUCUAUGGCGAGCCCAGACCCGAUAAUAGGGAAGAGACGUGGCGACUGUUAUGCACUCUACAUCAGCAAGAAAAGCUACCUUGGGUGUGUAUAGGGGAUUUCAAUGAGAUCCUAUACAACUUUGAGAAGCAAGGAGGGGUGCCCAGAGCUCACAGCCAAAUGGAUCGUUUUCAUGAUGCUUUAAACUUUUGUAACCUAAACGACCUGGGUUUCGAGGGGGACGUAUUUACUUGGCGUAAUGGUUAUAUUCGUGAGCGCCUGGACAGGGCUGUUGCAAAUCCACAAUGGUGUAUGCGUUUUCCAGGUUACAAGGUGCGGAACGGUUGCCCUGAACACUCUGACCAUCGCCCAGUUAUU